RNAcentral lists this long non-coding RNA (397 nucleotides) under Callithrix jacchus (white-tufted-ear marmoset). RNAcentral's name for it is "lncRNA (ENSCJAG00000073690.1)". Lineage: Eukaryota; Metazoa; Chordata; Mammalia; Primates; Cebidae. The record is from RNAcentral.
CAGCAUACUCACCACUCCCCUUCCUGGUGCUCAACUUCACCAAAAGACCUGGGGCCCAAACUUUCUACAUAUCGCUAAAGUAAUUUCACAUUACUUAUUCGUUUUGCUAAUUACUCUUUGUUUUUUAGCCAACAGGGAUAUGCUAUGGAAUACAACAUAAAACCUUCAUGUAUUUUAAAACACAGUAGGAGACUUGGACGGAACUCAUACUUGUCACCUGCUGCUUAGAGCUCUUCUCUGUGAGGGCCCUUACGUCCCCGGCCUUCAGGACGAGUGGUGGGAAAGCUCCGGAAGCAGAGGACACCUCAUGCAUUCAUCAGUUGCAGUUUGCCUUGCUGCGAGCCCCAAGUUCCCAGCUGAGCCUAGAGCAGGGGUAUUCUGCAUCCAUGUCUUCACA